Molecule: transfer RNA, 71 nt
Filed under: Loxodonta africana (African savanna elephant)
Lineage: Eukaryota; Metazoa; Chordata; Mammalia; Proboscidea; Elephantidae
Rfam family: tRNA
About the family: Transfer RNA (tRNA) molecules are approximately 80 nucleotides in length. Their secondary structure includes four short double-helical elements and three loops (D, anti-codon, and T loops).
Source: Rfam by way of RNAcentral
GCAUUGAUGGUUCCGUGGUAGAAUUCUCACCUUCCAUGCCUGAGACCAAGGUUCAAUUCCUGGCCAGUGCU